This 1155-nucleotide ribosomal RNA is filed under the name uncultured organism. RNAcentral describes it as "bacterial SSU rRNA". It matches the Rfam family "Bacterial small subunit ribosomal RNA", at positions 126 to 1279 of the family's 1533-position model. The record is from RNAcentral.
CUACCCUUGGGUGGGGGAUAGCCCUGCGAAAGUGGGUUUAAUACCGCAUAAAGUAUGUUGCUUGGAAGGUGGCAUAUGAAAAGCUUUGGUUGCCUGAGGAUGAAUCUGCGUACCAUUAGUUAGUUGGUAGGGUAAGAGCCUACCAAGGCGAGGAUGGUUAGCCGGUCUGAGAGGAUGGUCGGUCACAUUGGGACUGAGAUACGGCCCACACUCCUACGGGAGGCAGCAGCUAACAAUCUUCCGCAAUGGACGAGAGCCUGACGGAUCGACGCCGCGUGUACCAAGAAGGCCCUUUGGGUUGUAAAGUCCUUUUCAUAUAGAAGAAUGCUAGAUGUAGGUUUAGUUGACGGUAUAUAUGGAAUAAGCCCCGGCUAAUUACGUGCCAGCAGCCGCGGUAAUACGUAAGGCGCGAGCGUUGUUCGGAAUUAUUGGUCAUAAAGGGCGCGUAGGCGGUCUUUCAAGUUAUAGGUGAAAAGUCAGUGCUUAACAUUGAUCGUGCCUAUAAAACUGGACGACCAUAGUUUAAGAGAGGAUGCCGGAAUUCCUGGUGUACGGGUGCAAUCUAUAGAUAUCAGGAGGAACACCUGUGGCGAAGGCGGGCAUCUGGCCUCUGACUGACGCUGAUGUGCGAAAGCGUGGGGAGCGAACAGGAUUAGAUACCCUGGUAGUCCACGCAGUAAACGUUGUAUACUAGGUGUAUGGGGUAUCGAUCCCCUGCGUGCCGAAGCAAAUGUGAUAAGUAUACCGCCUGGGGAGUAUGCCGGCAACGGUGAAACUCAAAGGAAUUGAUGGGGGCCCGCACCAGCGGUGGAGCAUGUGGUUUAAUUCGAUGAUACGCGAAGAACCUUACCUGGGCUUGACAUGGUGCCUGACUGAUAAGAGAUUAUCAGGCUCUUCGGAGGGGCAUCACAGGUGCGGCAUGUCUGUCGUCACACUCGUGUGGUGAGAUGUGGGGUUAUGUCCCGCAACGAGCGCAACCCUCAUGGUUAGUCGCCAUAGGGUAAUGCCGGGCACUCUAGCCAAACUGCCGGACGUAAUCCGGAGGAAGGUGGGGAUGACGUCAAGUCCUCAUGGCCUUUAUGUCCAGGGCUACACACGUGCUACAAUGGUCGGUUCAAAGAGGAGGCGAGACUAUAAGAGGAGCCAAUCUCAAAA